RNAcentral lists this ribosomal RNA (301 nucleotides) under uncultured bacterium. RNAcentral's name for it is "partial 16S ribosomal RNA". It matches the Rfam family "Bacterial small subunit ribosomal RNA", at positions 509 to 807 of the family's 1533-position model. The record is from RNAcentral.
CAGCCGCCACGGGAAUACGAAGGGGGCUAGCGUUGUUCGGAAUUACUGGGCGUAAAGGGCGCGUAGGCGGCCAUUCAAGUUAGAUGUGAAAGCCCUGGGCUCAACCUAGGAAUUGCAUUUGAUACUGUUUGGCUUGAGUUCGGGAGAGGUGAGUGGAAUUCCCAGUGUAGAGGUGAAAUUCGUAGAUAUUCGCAGGAACACCAGUGGCGAAGGCGGCUCACUGGCUCGAUACUGACGCUGAGGUGCGAAAGCGUGGGGAGCAAACAGGAUUAGAUACCCGAGUAGUCCCUGUCUCUUAUAC